RNAcentral lists this ribosomal RNA (259 nucleotides) under uncultured bacterium. RNAcentral's name for it is "partial 16S ribosomal RNA". It matches the Rfam family "Bacterial small subunit ribosomal RNA", at positions 334 to 607 of the family's 1533-position model. The record is from RNAcentral.
UUAGCCUACGGGGGGCAGCAGUGGGGAAUAUUGCACAAUGGGGGGAACCCUGAUGCAGCGACGCCGCGUGAGUGAAGAAGUAUUUCGGUAUGUAAAGCUCUAUCAGCAGGGAAGAAAGAAAUGACGGUACCUGACUAAGAAGCCCCGGCUAACUACGUGCCAGCAGCCGCGGUAAUACGUAGGGGGCAAGCGUUAUCCGGAUUUACUGGGUGUAAAGGGAGCGUAGACGGCGAUGCAAGUCUGAAGUGAAAGGCGGGGG